Molecule: long non-coding RNA, 1951 nt
Filed under: Mus musculus (house mouse)
Lineage: Eukaryota; Metazoa; Chordata; Mammalia; Rodentia; Muridae
Description: predicted gene 5493
Source: RNAcentral
UGUGACGUACCUCCUCUGAAGACUAUCAACACCUAGUUCUUUUUGUAGGAUCCACCCAGCUUCUUUCUUUCAUUGUCACUUUCCGGUGCUUUCCAGUGGCCUCCGCCUGCCGCUGCCUUUUCCCCACCCCUCCCCGCCCCGGGGAUUCUGGCCCCUUCCACUCAGUCUCAGGGGUCCAACCACACUGCUCCAGCUGUCAGGCUGUCCUGGAAGGAUGCUGCACCCUAAUAUCUGAUAGAAUUCUGGUCUUUGUUCCUAAGACAGAAACUCAGAGCAGAGCAACAAGAAGAAUGACUGCUUCUUUGGUAAAUACACCCCAGUGUUUGUUAACAUUCAGGGAUGUGGCUGUGGAGUUCUCAGUGGAAGAGUGGGAAUGUCUGAACUGUUCUCAGAGGGCACUGUAUACAGAUGUGAUGAUGGAGAGUUACAGUAAUCUAUUCCUUUUGGAGAAUUUUCUUAAAUGUGAGGAGGUGUUGGAUCAAGGCACAAAGCAUAUUGCCCACAAGCAUGAACAAAGGCCAAAACUCGUUUUGACAUUCCACAUCAAGAUACUAAAACUACAAAGCUAAACAUCAUUGAACUAUGUUAGGGACAUUGUCAAACCAUAUAAAGAGAACUGAAACCUAAAAUGAUAUGAAAUUGUCUUAUCAACAUUCCUAUAAACAUGAAAGCAUGAGAAGAUAACUAUGAACAUUGUCAUUAUACCAAAAAUUUGGAACUUAAAAUUCAUGGAGCAUGAAGUUCACUUGAAGAAAGUUAUGAAAUAACAAGGGUCAUGCUUAAAAUUCAUGGAGCAUAAGUUCACUUGAAGAAUGUUAUGAAAUAACAAGGGUCAUGUAUUCAAGUAGCAUUCCAGAUUAUAAUUAGAAGCAAAUAGUAUCUCAAAACAAACAAACAAACAAACAAAACCAGAGCAAGUCUAUCAAUGAGAACACGGGAAGUACAACAUUUUACAUUAAAAAAUAGAUGAAUAAAGGAGAGUUGAGUGGUAGCAUACCAUGUGCAACACUCCAAAACAGGAAAACACUAUUUCAAUCUGGAGGAGGAAAAACAAUACUACUGGUAGUUAACCAUCCAGAUCAUUAAUUUAAACAAAACACAGAACAACAACAACAACAAGAGUGUUACAUGAUAUGGAAAUCACACAACUAAUGGAAAUAUCAUAAGAUAAAGUUCAACAAGGUUUUGUGCUAAACUCCUAAAGGGAGCAGGAAAAAAAGGAAUAUGACUUAAGAGAGUAAAGGGUAUAUAUGCCACACCAAGACCAACAGUCCUGUGCAUAGAAAAAAAAGAACAGCAUCAGAAGGAACACUGAAAGGAGAAGAUGCUUGUACUCUCCUGUCUUACUGAGCCCACUAGCAUAAGUGUGGACUAGAGAAAUCUGAAUAAGACAAAGGAUGAAAAGAAGAAAAAAGUAGAAAAGCAAGAUUUCAAUCUCUUUUAAAGAUGAUGUAGUCAUACACAAAACACCAUAGAGAUACCAUGGAAAAAAGUCCUAGACCUUAUAAGUACUUUAAAUACUACUGAAAAACACAAAAUACUGUAAUCAAGGGUUUUAUCAAAAUUUUAAAAAAUACAGUGCAAAUGAUCAAGAAGCCAAUGGACUGAACUCAAAAGCAGUUAAAACAGCCAACUAUUCAUACUACAUGUUCCACAUGGUUAGUCAUAAACAAAAUGCUCAUCCAAUGUAUACUGAGAUCUCUUCUCUUCCUAGUCAGUGUCCACACUCAAGGUUCUAAACAAUAACAAACACUGGAGACAAUGCAAUGGAAGAACAGAGACAGCAUCAGUGGAAUCCAACUCACUUUAAACACCAGUCAAGAAAGUGUGCAGCUUCCUGAACAACCAAAUACAGUAAAGAGAACACCUAGGGAAAAUUGUGAUGAUGUUCAUAAAAAAAUUAAAUAUACUGCAAAAUAACUAUGAAAUAGAAACUCACUAAGAGAAAAAG